Molecule: ribosomal RNA, 359 nt
Filed under: Kimunpsocus takumai
Lineage: Eukaryota; Metazoa; Arthropoda; Insecta; Psocodea; Psocidae
Description: partial 12S ribosomal RNA
Source: RNAcentral
CCCUAUUAUAAUUAAUAUAAUUUUAAUUUUGAGUAGUAUAUGAUUUGGACAGGAAACUUAAAGAAUUUGGCGGUGUAUAUUCUAAUUAGAGGAAUAUGGUUUUUAAUUGAUAAUCCACAAAUAUCUUACUUAAAUUAUUUAUUUUGUAUAUCUCCGUCUUAAAAAAAUUUUUUAAAAUAUUUUUUGUAUAUUAUAAUUUUAAAAAAGUCAGGUCAAGGUGCAGAUUAUAUUUAAGUUAAAAUGUAUUACAAUAAAAUUAUUUUUGGAAUAAGAUUUAAAUAAAUUAGGAAAUUGGAUUUAUAAGUAAAUUUUUUUACUAUAAUAAUUAAUUGAAUAAUGUUAAUAUACAUGCACACAUC